Molecule: ribosomal RNA, 253 nt
Filed under: uncultured bacterium
Lineage: Bacteria
Description: partial 16S ribosomal RNA
Rfam family: Bacterial small subunit ribosomal RNA
Source: RNAcentral
UACGUAGGGUGCAAGCGUUAAUCGGAAUUACUGGGCGUAAAGCGUGCGCAGGCGGUUAUGUAAGUCAGAUGUGAAAGGCCCGGGCUUAACCUGGGAACUGCAUUUGUGACUGCAUGGCUAGAGUUUGGCAGAGGGGGGUAGAAUUCCACGUGUAGCAGUGAAAUGCGUAGAUAUGUGGAGGAACACCGAUGGCGAAGGCAGCCACCUGGGUCAAGACUGACGCUAAUGCACGAAAGCGUGGGGAGCAAACAGG